This 440-nucleotide ribosomal RNA is filed under the name uncultured bacterium. Its description in RNAcentral is "partial 16S ribosomal RNA". It matches the Rfam family "Bacterial small subunit ribosomal RNA", at positions 338 to 795 of the family's 1533-position model. The record is from RNAcentral.
CCUACGCGUGGCAGCAGUGGGGAAUAUUGCACAAUGGGGGAAACCCUGAUGCAGCGACGCCGCGUGAGUGAAGAAGUAUUUCGGUACGUAAAGCUCUAUCAGCAGGGAAGAAAAUGACGGUACCUGACUACGCAGUCCCGGCUAACUACGUGCCAGCAGCCGCGGUAAUACGUAGGGGGCAAGCGUUAUCCGGAUGUACUGGGUGUAACGGGAGCGUAGACGGCAGGGCAAGUCUGGAGUGAAAUCCUAGGGCUUAACCAUGGAACUGCUUUGGAAACUGUGCAGCUAGAGUGCAGGAGAGGUGAGCGGAAUUCCUAGUGUAGCGGUGAAAUGCGUAGAUAUUAGGAGGAACACCAGUGGCGAAGGCGACUUACUGGACUGUAACUGACGUUGAGGCUCGAAAGCGUGGGGAGCAAACAGGAUUAGAUACCCUGGUAGUC